AUUUACUUACCCAGGUGGCAUGAGAAUCUUCUUUCUGAUAGUCUAGAUUCCUGACAGGUCUGUGUAUUCCAAAGCUUAAAUCUUACAAUCUAGAGUUGAUUUGUCUUAGCCCCAUGCCCACGACUUCCUCAUAAAAGCUUUACGCAGUAGUCUUGUGUGUCUUCAAUCCUCCAUCUGCUUAAAGAGACAUAAAUCACCCAAUGGAGCCAGUGGAAAGUCCUGGAGCAAACAGACAGGGUCGUGCCACCUCAGGAACAAAGCAUGAAUGUGGAAUAGUCAUCUCUCACGGUCUCUCUAACCUUGCAUUGCGGCCCUGCCUGGUUUCUGCAGGACCUCUCGAUUGCCCGUGGUCAUCGACCUGUUGACAGGAGAAAGGAAGAGCCUCCUAGCCUAAGACCUGCCCCUCCUCCUAUCAG
This 416-nucleotide long non-coding RNA is filed under the name Androctonus crassicauda. The record is from RNAcentral. Lineage: Eukaryota; Metazoa; Arthropoda; Arachnida; Scorpiones; Buthidae.